This 414-nucleotide ribosomal RNA is filed under the name soil bacterium 5V-02. RNAcentral describes it as "bacterial SSU rRNA". It matches the Rfam family "Bacterial small subunit ribosomal RNA", at positions 24 to 486 of the family's 1533-position model. The record is from RNAcentral.
UCAGAACGAACGCUGGCGGCAGGCUUAACACAUGCAAGUCGAGCGCCCCGCAAGGGGAGCGGCAGACGGGUGAGUAACGCGUGGGAACGUACCCUUUACUACGGAAUAACCCAGGGAAACUUGGACUAAUACCGUAUGUGCCCUUCGGGGGAAAGAUUUAUCGGUAAAGGAUCGGCCCGCGUUGGAUUAGCUAGUUGGUGGGGUAAAGGCCUACCAAGGCGACGAUCCAUAGCUGGUCUGAGAGGAUGAUCAGCCACAUUGGGACUGAGACACGGCCCAAACUCCUACGGGAGGCAGCAGUGGGGAAUAUUGGACAAUGGGCGCAAGCCUGAUCCAGCCAUGCCGCGUGAGUGAUGAAGGCCCUAGGGUUGUAAAGCUCUUUCACCGGUGAAGAUAAUGACGGUAACCGAGAGA